This 492-nucleotide ribosomal RNA is filed under the name uncultured bacterium. RNAcentral's name for it is "partial 16S ribosomal RNA". It matches the Rfam family "Bacterial small subunit ribosomal RNA", at positions 29 to 507 of the family's 1533-position model. The record is from RNAcentral.
AGUGAACGCUGGCGGCAGGCCUAACACAUGCAAGUCGAACGGCAGCACAGUACUUGCUUGUGGUUACGGGGGGCGAGUGGCGGGUGGUUCAUGAGAAUAUCCGAAGCUGUUGUUUAUAAGGGCAUAACGCAGGGGCUCUUACCGCAUUACCCCAUACGGCGUACGUGGGGGAGCAUGGGACCUUCCGCUCUCAGGCGAUUGUAUGAGCGGAGGUCGGAUUAGCUAGUUGGCGGGGUACAGGCCUACCAAGGCGACGAUCCGUAGCUGGUCUGAGAGGAUGAUCAGCCACACUGGAACUGAGACACGGUCCAGACUCCUACGGGAGGCAGCAGUGGGGAAUAUUGGACAAUGGGCGCAAGCCUGAUCCAGCCAUGCCGCGUGGGUGAAGAAGGCCUUCGGAUUGUAAAGCCCUUUAGGUGGGGAGGAAGGGCAGCAGGUUAAUACCUCGCUGUUUUGACGGUACCAACAGAAUAAGCACCGGCUAACUUCGUG